CUCCCACUGCGGAAUUUAACUAACGUGAAAGUUAGAGGGCUCCACACUCCCCCUGCGGAAUUUAACUGUUUCUAAUGGCACUUGAUAGGGUCUAGAAUUCUCAAAGUUUUAAGUGACCUCUUGUCACUGCUCGUUUUAAGUGACCUCAUCACCGCUCAUUCAUUCCUUUUUAGUAGAAUUAAUAUUCCUACUCACGGUCUGCUGAUUUUCUUCCUAGGAAGAUCUCGUCAACCCUCCCGGUGUCCAGCCGGACUGAUCGAGACAGUCCCGUCAAAGGGCUUUUGUUCACCUCGGCCGAGGAUUUUUGCCUGCGUCGAAGAGUCCGCUGGACCCGUUCAAGAUCAUGGGUCCUUCCCCUGCACGACCGUCCGCUUGACCUCCCCGUGAUGAUAACUACACCUGUGUCCUCCCUCCUCCGUAUGUGUAUUUAGUCUGCGUCUUCCCCUCGCCUUGUGCCAGUGCGUCUUGCUGGCCAUGACCACCAGCGACUCCAUAGCCACAGCUAUUUCCCGUGCUUUGCCCGUGCGAGCUUGCCUUCGUUUUUCCCUCAGUGUGAGGCGCUUUUUUUUGCUGUUCCCAGCCCUUUUUUCCCUCUGUAGAGGCGCUUUUGUCUAUCCCCUUUUUUCCUCGUGUUGAGGCACUUUUGUCUGUUCCCUUUUUGCCUCAUCGUGAGGUACUUUUUGUUCCUGGAGCUGUCGUCCGCAGAGGAAAUAAACUCCUUGAACUUUCGAACUCUGCAUUCGAGUCCUCUCCCUGCUCUGAGCGUGACACUGUCUACGAGUGUUGUGUGACGUCAGAGGUUGAUACUUGUUGUAUUUCUGUCUGUUGCAGAACCACAGACACCCCACAAACCACACACACGCUUCACACGCUUCACACAAUACCCUUUUGCCAAUUUGCCUGUACACCCCUAAGAGCCACAGUGACUGUGACUUUUUUGCCAAUAAUUCAGUAAAGUAAUCCAAACUCAA
This is a long non-coding RNA of Syngnathus typhle (broad-nosed pipefish), 971 nucleotides long. RefSeq lists it as uncharacterized. The record is from RefSeq and is a predicted model, not a curated record. The transcript has 2 exons. NCBI's taxonomy places the organism in Eukaryota, Metazoa, Chordata, Actinopteri, Syngnathiformes, Syngnathidae.